Molecule: long non-coding RNA, 921 nt
Organism: Salvelinus fontinalis (brook trout)
Lineage: Eukaryota; Metazoa; Chordata; Actinopteri; Salmoniformes; Salmonidae
Exons: 2
Source: RefSeq, a predicted model, not a curated record
GAAUUAUGUAACGUUGCGUUCAUAACAAAGUGGGAAUUUACCACCAUAGAGUUAGCUAGAGGACUAUAGAUGGGAAAAACUGUUUUGCCAUGGACAUUGCUAUUUAGAGAUUCACCAUUUUAAAGUAGCGAACUGGGUGGGCCUUCCUUGGGUGAAGGAAGGAUCAUAUGAUUCCAUCUGGGUCAUCAGGAAGGAUCAGACAAUGAAUUAUACUUGUGAACAAACAUACCAUAACUAUAGGUGGCAGUAAAACGCCAUCCUUGGCUUUAUACCUGUUCAAACAACACUCUAGUGUCUAGACUCUAGUCUAGAUGGCAGUAUGCACCCUUUCAGUUUGUUGUGCCUGUUUACUCCUCAGGUUGUCAUUCCUUCCUUUCUGCAGAUCCAGCACCAAUCCAGAUCCCGGGUUCCAGUACCAGUCCCAGCACCAGACGAAGCACAGAGGGACCAGACCAGACCUUCACCUGGUGCGAGCGGACCACAGAGCCAGAUCCCGACCCAGAACCUGCAGCAGCCCCAGUUCGCGGGUCCUGUUUUUUCCCAGUCAGUCCCCAGCACCAGACCCAGCACCUCUGGUCUCCAGUCCCGGCCCCAACACCAACACGGUUCCCAGUUUCCAACCCAGACACCAACUGUUACCUACCUCCAUUAAAAUGACACAGACAGACCUGCAACCACUCCACCAGACCAACCACUCCAGAAAAAACUUCGAAACUCAAACAGGCGAAAUCUACUUUCCAACAAACACUAUCAAAUGCUUUUGUAAUGAGGCUUUUUUUCUUUUCAUUUAAUAACUGAUUGAUGUAUUGACUUAGCAUUUAUUGAUUUGAUUGAAUAUCUUGUUUUAAACUUUUUUAACUUGAAUACCAUUUGAAUGAUGUAUGACUUAUGCAUAACCAAAUAAAAUAACCUCUAAUGGUU